RNAcentral lists this ribosomal RNA (50 nucleotides) under Marasmius bambusiniformis. RNAcentral describes it as "partial 5.8S ribosomal RNA". It matches the Rfam family "5.8S ribosomal RNA", at positions 1 to 48 of the family's 154-position model. From Rfam's summary of the family: 5.8S ribosomal RNA (5.8S rRNA) is a component of the large subunit of the eukaryotic ribosome. It is transcribed by RNA polymerase I as part of the 45S precursor that also contains 18S and 28S rRNA. Functionally, it is thought that 5.8S rRNA may be involved in ribosome translocation. The record is from RNAcentral. Lineage: Eukaryota; Fungi; Basidiomycota; Agaricomycetes; Agaricales; Marasmiaceae.
ACAACUUUCAGCAACGGAUCUCUUGGCUCUCGCAUCGAUGAAAAACGCAG